CCCCACUUAGCUGAGUUGGCUUUAGCGCUAGAUUGAAGAUCUGGAGACGGUGGUUCAAAUCCACCAGUGGGGGCCA
This 76-nucleotide transfer RNA is filed under the name bacterium. RNAcentral's name for it is "tRNA-Phe". It matches the Rfam family "tRNA". Rfam says of the family: Transfer RNA (tRNA) molecules are approximately 80 nucleotides in length. Their secondary structure includes four short double-helical elements and three loops (D, anti-codon, and T loops). Further hydrogen bonds mediate the characteristic L-shaped molecular structure. tRNAs have two regions of fundamental functional importance: the anti-codon, which is responsible for specific mRNA codon recognition, and the 3' end, to which the tRNAs corresponding amino acid is attached (by aminoacyl-tRNA synthetases). tRNAs cope with the degeneracy of the genetic code in two manners: having more than one tRNA (with a specific anti-codon) for a particular amino acid; and 'wobble' base-pairing, i.e. permitting non-standard base-pairing at the 3rd anti-codon position. The record is from RNAcentral.